RNAcentral lists this ribosomal RNA (515 nucleotides) under uncultured bacterium. Its description in RNAcentral is "bacterial SSU rRNA". It matches the Rfam family "Bacterial small subunit ribosomal RNA", at positions 28 to 534 of the family's 1533-position model. The record is from RNAcentral.
GAUGAACGCUAGCGGGAGGCUUAACACAUGCAAGUCGAGGGGCAGCAUAGGGUAGCAAUACUCUGAUGGCGGCCGGCAAACGGGUGAGUAACGCGUAUGCAACCUACCCUGUACAGGGGGAUAACCCGGAGAAAUUCGGACUAAUAUCCCGUAAUAAUAUCCGGAGGCAUCUUUGGAUAUUUAAAGUUCCGACGGUACGGGAUGGGCAUGCGUAACAUUAGCUGGUUGGUAAGGUAACGGCUUACCAAGGCUAUGAUGUUUAGGGGUCCUGAGAGGGUGGUCCCCCACACUGGUACUGAGACACGGACCAGACUCCUACGGGAGGCAGCAGUGAGGAAUAUUGGUCAAUGGGCGCAAGCCUGAACCAGCCAUCCCGCGUGCAGGAAGACGGCCCUAUGGGUUGUAAACUGCUUUUCCAGGGAGAGAAACUUACGCACGUGUUGCGUGACUGACGGUACCCUGGGAAUAAGCAUCGGCUAACUCCGUGCCAGCAGCCGCGGUAAUCGACGAGAGUA